Non-coding RNA from Acanthosepion pharaonis, 95 nucleotides. Lineage: Eukaryota; Metazoa; Mollusca; Cephalopoda; Sepiida; Sepiidae. The record is from the annotation of a GenBank genome assembly.
AUAGACAAGUUUUCGUACGGUCACCGAAGUUAAACAACGUCGGACCUGCUCAGUACUUAGAUGGGUAACCACUUGGGAAUACCAGGUGCUGUAAG